Molecule: long non-coding RNA, 441 nt
Organism: Salvia miltiorrhiza (redroot sage)
Lineage: Eukaryota; Viridiplantae; Streptophyta; Magnoliopsida; Lamiales; Lamiaceae
Exons: 2
Source: RefSeq, a predicted model, not a curated record
AAUCAUAGAAUAAUAAGCACUACACCAUGAUUUAAGAUUAGCUUCACGAGACCUAUUAAGAAUAGAAUUUCUUGUAGGCUUUGUGACCAGGGGGAUUAGCGCUGCUUUCCCAAGACAGGUUUUUAUGUGUAUGAUCUUCAGGCUUUGCCUAUCCAGGUUGGCUGGCCGGUGCUGACGGGACGGAGCUGAGGCUAGAGUUAAAUUCCUAUGUUAGACUUCCGCUGUAGCAAUUACUCAUAUCAAUCUUUUGUUUUCCCAACUUAAGAUCUUCAUGUUAAAUUUCAAAUGAUAUACCUGACCGAGCUUAGACUCUUCACUACUAAAUUUAUGCCAAUGAAUGUCGGUUGUCAGAAGCAUGAAACAAAACUUGUGAUCCAAAGGGGCAUAGCCCGACUUUCUAUCCUAUUUCGGGUUUUAACAAGGUAUUUCCCUUGUUUAUUU